This 4910-nucleotide long non-coding RNA is filed under the name Gallus gallus (chicken). The record is from RNAcentral. Lineage: Eukaryota; Metazoa; Chordata; Aves; Galliformes; Phasianidae.
AGAAGGUGAAAAUCCGUUCAGAUCCUACAGCAAUUAAAGUACUGGUGUAAGAAUUUUAAAAUACAUAUCUAGCUGCUGCAGAUUUAGACUCUUAUGUGCAUCCACAGAAAUAAUAAAUGUAAUGGGAAGAUCUUUUCCUGUGCUGUUAUCUUGGAAUGCUCUGAUGAAUAAGAGAAGGAUGAUGUAACCUAGAACCUAGUUGCGUAUUUAUUGAGUGCAGUAUAGUGGUAGCAAUGCCAAACUGCAUUGCAACUCCACUGGCAACGCUGCUAAAUACACAUUAGUUUUAAUUGAUGGGAGGGCCUUAAACUUUAGAGGAGGUGCACUGAAAAUAGUGGAUUUUCUCUUACCAUUCCUGUCAUGAGUGUGGGUUUUUUUUCCCAUUUGUUUUUUAUUUUUUCUUCUGUUGCAUUACAUGUCAAAAUAGAGUUCUUGAUAAAACUACAUAAAUCAUGCCCUCUUGCAUAUCGUUCAGAUCAUAAAAACAAUAAAAUCAGAAAUGACUGUAUAGUAUCUCAUAGGAGGCAAAGAAAUAUUUAUUUUAAAUACAGCAGAAGCAAUAUCUCAGUGGGGAGGCUGUUCUGAAGACAGAUCCAGGUUGUGGUUUGAUUUGUAAAAGACUAUCCUUAGCAUGACAGCCAUAAACUUAAAUGCUUUUUCCUUAAAAGAGAAAAAUGCACAGUUAUGUUCUACAAAUACAUACUUUACUGUCACUAAUAAAUUGAAACUUGUUCCUGUGGUACAUCUGCAAAAAUCUGCAGGCGUCUCAUCUAAAGGUUUUGUGGUGUGGCCCAACUCAAAGAAAAACUAGCUUCUGUCUUUGUGGAAUCUCUUUUGAAGUUCAGGGAGAUGGCUCAUUAAAGGUGAGUUUUGUUACACUGCUAUCAUUUGUAUUCAGCCAGACCAAAGUAAGUUUCAUAAAGUAAACCACCUAGUUUUGGGGAACUAUCAUCACCUCACAUAUUUGCUUUCCCAAGUGUAACGCUGGUUUGUACUGAAACUCAGGUUAUCUCAGUGUUCACAUAAGACUUGGAUAGACAGUCUCAGUGCAUGAGGAAGACAGUCUCAGUGCAUGAGCCCAUCUGGCAAGAUGCAAGCUCUGAUACAAGUGUGGCAGUGGGGGCAUUUGAGUAGAAGCAGGAGUAUGUGCUCAGGGACAGUCUACGUCUUUUCACACCUUUCAGCUUUCAGCAGCCUCUUGACAAUCUAAUAAUAUCUUUUCUCCAUGGUUACUAUCAAACUCCGAGAUAUUAAAGAAGCAGGUAGAAGGCAGUAUACUUUGGCUGUUUCAUCUUCUGUUUCACAAAAGGUGAGCUUUGGCUUUACCUUCCAGUAAAGUGAGCACACUUUACCUUCUAGUGCUGAAACUGUGGAGGCUUCAUGAGGAGCAUCAUUUUUCCCCACUUUUUAUGAUGAAAACCUACAAGAGAUCAAGUACAGAAAGGAAUUGGUUGCUCAGUGUAAGAGUUUAUGGAACAUAUAUUUAUAUGGACAAUAUGGUUACAACUCAACACAGUAUUUUUUUGGAUACAAGAUGUAGUGUGUCCCUGGAGGUAUUCAAGAAAUGUCUAGAUGUUGUACUGAGGGCAUGGUUUAGUGACAGAAUAUUGGUGGUAGGAGGAUGAUUGGACUGGAUGAUCUUGGAGGUCUUUUCCAACCUUGGUGAUUCUAUUUUUCAGCACAACAGUACCCCAGCAGCUCACAGCAUUAGCCCACUUGGAGUUGUUUCAAGGAAACCUUCCCCUGAAUUAGUGUGAGUGAUGGGAGAGAAACAGUGUGUUAAUGUGCUUCUGGAAGCUGCUAUUGCUGUUAGUCAUAGGGAGGAAGUCUGGGCUCAUGGUGGAAAGAGGAAGGGAGGGAAAUGAAGAAGAAUGAGGGCAGGAUUGAUGAUGUGCUUAUAAGAGGAGAAAAAGAAUGAAAUAGACAACUAGGUAACUCUUGAGCUUAUGAUUCAUCACGUUCAGCUUCAGUCUGCAUCUUUAGUAUCUAAAGGCCUGUCAGUAUCUAAACGGAAAUAUAGGAAGGGGACAGACUAUACUUAUUAGGGUCUGUCAUGAAAGGACAGGGGGAAAUGGUUUCAAAUUAAAAGAGGAGAGAUUUAGACUGUAUGUAGAGAAAAUGGUUUUUACAAUAAAAGUAGUGAAGCUCUGAAACAGGUUGCCUAGAUUAGUGGUAGGUGCUCCAUCCCCGAAGAUGUUCAAGAUCAGGCUUGAUCAGGCUCUGAGCAACCUGAUGUAGUUGUAGGUGUCCCAGUUCAUUACAGGGGAGUUGGACUAAAUGACCUUUAAGGGUCUCUUCCAACUCAACCAAUUCUAUAAUUCUAUGAUUUGUGCUCAGCUGAGAGCAGUGUUUGUCUCUUCUCUGCAGGGUGUCCAUAUGUGUCAUCAGUUCUCUGAAAUGUUUUCUGUAGCUACACAUAGCUAACAUUUCAAAGCAAAUGUAUUUAUUUAAUUACUUACUUCUAUGACAAUCUAUUAAUUUGCCAGUUUUAAUCUUUUGUUACAUUUUGUGAGAAGGAGACCAUGUAUUCUCUUGUGAUGUGUUUAACAAUUAGUUGUCACUGAAGGCUGAUAUUUGAAAUACAUUUAAAAUAAGAACUGCAGUUGUAUGUGCUUCACUGUAAGUACAUAAUGAAUUAAGGCAUUCAGUUUUGUUCUUAACAAAUGCUAAAGCUGAAAGAUUAAAUGUAUAGAGAAUUUACUCAAGUUGUUCCUCAAGCUCAUUUAGGCUUGAAUAACAGCUAUGAAGUAAUGAAAAGCCAGUUUUAACGAAGGUUUUUAGACAAAAAUUUGAAUUGAAUAUUAAACUCCUUCUUCCAAAUUAAAGUGUAACCAGUAUCUGUUACCUAGUCUAGCAUAUAGUGUUAACUGCAGAAGUUUUGGGAAAAUACAUUGAUCCUUGAAGGUGUCACACUCAUAAAUCAGUCAGAUAUAAAUUUGUAUGUUUAUAUGACAGUCUGAGCUUGUCUUGUUGUCAGUGAAGGUUCUAGCUUUACCAAAAAUAAAACAAAAGUCAGAUUCAAGAUAUUUUUUUUGGUGUUAUGACCCAUAAGCAUCCUUCCUAAGUAUCUAAAGGAAGAUUGGAGGCAAAUGGAUGAGCCCAGGCUCUUCUCAGUGGUGUAUAGUGAUAGGACAAGGAGCAGCGGCCUAAAAUUGAUCAUAGGAAGUUCCAUACAAACGUGAGGCCUCACCUCAAGUACUGUGUUCAGUUUUGGGCAUGUCAGUACAGAAGGGACAUCAAGGUUCUGGAGCAGGUCCAAAGAAGGGCAACAAGGCUUGUGAAGGGCUUGGAGAAUAUGCCCUAUGAGGAGCAACUGAAGGAACUGGGGCUCUUUAGUCUGGGGAAGAGGAGGCUGAGGGGAGACGUUAUUGCUCUCUUCCAUUACCUGAAAGGUGCUUACAGCAAGAGCAGGGUUGGUCUCUUCUCACUGGUGACAGGUGACAGGACAAGGGGAAAUGGCCUCAAGUUGUGCCAGGGUAAGUUAAGUUUGGAUGUCAGGAAACACUUCUUUACAGAAAGGGUUGUUAAGCACUGGAGGGAGGUGGUUGAGUCACCAUCCCUGGAUGUGUUUAAAAACUGCUUGGAUGUGGUGAUUUAGCAGAGGGUUGUUAGAGUUAGGGUAGUAUGGUUAGGUCGUGGUUGGACUUGAUGAUCUUUAAGGUCUUUUCCAACCUGAGCGAUUCUAUGAUUCUAUGUGGAAGAACUUUAUAGUAAGGGUGACAGAGUGCAGGAACAGGUUUCCCAAAGAGGUUGUAAAGUCUUCUAUGGAGAUAUUCAAGACCCAUUUGGAUGCCUACUUAUGCAACCUGUUGUAGGGAACCUGCUUUAGCAGGGGGGUUGGACUUGAUGGUCUUUUGAGGUCCCUUCCAACUCCUUCAGUUCUGUGAUUCACAUAGCAUGACUAUGACUUAUAGACUUUGCUGAAGAUGAACACCUUGGAAGUAUUAAAUUUAAACUGUAUUGUUGGACAAAAACUUUUCCAAAAGCUUGCUUUUGGAAGUUUCUUCUUGUUACUAAUAAAUACCAUCUUUGACUUCCUUAAGUUUAUCUACUGAAAGAAUAAGAAGUCUUAAGACAGCUUUAAAUGAUGAAAUUAAUGAAACACAGGCACAAGAUUUUAUCUCCUCCAGUGGUUAUAGUUACAAAGUCAUUACUAACAUUACCUGGGCCUUUUUUGGUUGUGAGGAUUUGUUUUUAACACUUUCUAUAGGUUUCAGUUAAAUGUUGUCUGUUUCUUUAUUUGAAACGACAUAAUUGGAAUGCAAGUACCAAAAUUAAUUAGGCAUUUUUUAGUUCAUUCAGAGUAACUGUAACAAGGCUGGUGGAGAUUGAAUUUACCUCUCUUUUUCUGCUUGUUCCCAGACUGUAAUUUGUGGGAUUUACUACAGAGAUUUUACUGUCACCAAAUAUGAGAUUUAGACAAUUAUUUCACCUAAAUUACAUUGAAUUAAUAAUUAAUUUUGUUUUCCUGUUAUAAUACAGAAAUCUACCGGUUUGAUCUUUGCAGUUAUAAUUCAGAUAGUUUAAAUAUUACCAGAAAUGUGAACACCUGUACGCUUUCUGAGUACUUUUAACACUGUUAGGCAGCUUGAUUUGAACAGAUGCUUUAUUUCAUUGCCUUUCUUAAAAUACAAACACUGCUGAAUAGUAUUCUGUCUGAUUUUUGACUUUAUUGUUCUGUUGGUAUUUUUUUUUCUUUUGUUUUGUUUUUCUGUUGGCUUCCUGAGCAGCUGCUAGGCAUUUUCUCCUUAAUAUAAUCGAGGAUGCUUUGCUGCGAGUAGAUAGAAGCUGAAUAUAAAUGCUUUCCCCUCCCCCAGAAGCUCAAAUGCAAAUGAGUAUGUAAGCAUAAUAAACAGUUGCCUUUUGUCAUAACUAAAUGCAGAAAUCAAUAAUGCAGUAUAAAAUCUGUC